RNAcentral lists this microRNA (21 nucleotides) under Populus trichocarpa (black cottonwood). RNAcentral describes it as "ptc-miR6466-5p". Lineage: Eukaryota; Viridiplantae; Streptophyta; Magnoliopsida; Malpighiales; Salicaceae. The record is from miRBase by way of RNAcentral.
UCUGGUAUGAGCAUUUGAUGA